CCUACGGGUGGCAGCAGUGAGGAAUAUUGGUCAAUGGACGAGAGUCUGAACCAGCCAAGUAGCGUGAAGGAUGACUGCCCUAUGGGUUGUAAACUUCUUUUAUAAAGGAAUAAAACGAGGCACGUGUGCCUUUUUGCAUGUACUUUAUGAAUAAGGAUCGGCUAACUCCGUGCCAGCAGCCGCGGUAAUACGGAGGAUCCGAGCGUUAUCCGGAUUUAUUGGGUUUAAAGGGAGCGUAGAUGGGUUGUUAAGUCAGUUGUGAAAGUUUGCGGCUCAACCGUAAAAUUGCAAUUGAUACUGGCAGUCGUGAGUACAGUUGAGGGAGGCGGAAUUCGUGGUGUAGCGGUGAAAUGCUUAGAUAUCACGAAGAACCCCGAUUGCGAAGGCAGCUUACUAAACUGGGACUGACAUUGAUGCUCGAAAGUGUGGGUAUCAAACAGGAUUAGAUACCCUGUAGUC
Molecule: ribosomal RNA, 459 nt
Filed under: uncultured bacterium
Lineage: Bacteria
Description: partial 16S ribosomal RNA
Rfam family: Bacterial small subunit ribosomal RNA
Source: RNAcentral